Mytilus trossulus (common blue mussel) is the source of this 2775-nucleotide long non-coding RNA. RefSeq lists it as uncharacterized. The transcript has 3 exons. The record is from RefSeq and is a predicted model, not a curated record. NCBI's taxonomy places the organism in Eukaryota, Metazoa, Mollusca, Bivalvia, Mytilida, Mytilidae.
CUUUUUGACGAGUGAGCAUAGCGAAAGAGAUCAAAAAGCAUUCAUAUGAUGUCAAGCAGCUGAUAUUUUCCAAUAUCAAUAUGCAGAUAAUCUGAUAAUCAAUUUAUCAGGCUAUAUUUGCGUGUUUCAGAAGUGUCUUCUUUGUUUCACCAGCACACACAAGAUGACUUGAUAAGUUCGGGUCAAAGUUAUUAACGUCGGUUCAAACAUUAUGACGUCGCUGAUAUGUCCGGGUCAAAGUUAAUAAGGCUGGGUCAAUGUAUUUGACGUCACAAAGACAUGAUACGGAAUAAUAUUAAGAGCUGAACAGAGUGAUAUAGACAGUGGGACGACCAAUAAGACACAUGUAAAACAAUUCAAACGAGAAAUCUUAAGAUAUGUGCAUUGUUCAUCAUGUUCAUAUUGUAUAUGAAGAUUAAUAAGAUUAAAGUAAACAAUGUGGUAUGUUUCCAAAAUAAAAGCUAUCCACCAAUGACCAACUGAUGUCGAUGCAAUUACUAGCCAUACAAAUGAUACAUACAUGUUGGUCACCAUACUUCCUUCAUUUAUAUUAUGACUAUUGAGUAAAUUUUUGCAAACAUGGCAAACCUGUACAUGUACAUGCUGUUUAUAUACAUAUUACUACUGUUCAAUGACUCAAGUUUUAAAUGCAUAAGCUUAAGGUCAUAACAGAAUUUAAACUAACUAUCAUAAUUGUAUGAACAUCAUGAUGAAUAUUUACAUUCUCUCAAAGAGUUUUAAUUUUACUUAGCUAAUACAGAAGAUGAUGGAUUCCCCAACAGAAAUUUUGAUGAUCGAACGAUUAAGGUGAAAAAAUUGAAGAAUUGCAUCAAUUGUUACAGAGAAUCGAUUUGCAAGCAGAAACAGGUGCUUUAAGAUUUAAGGGAAUACAACAGCCAUCCAUGAUCCUUUACUUGUAAAGUAAGUAGCUGUUCAUGAUGCUUAUAGGCAUAUACAAUCUAGUCUGGGCAUGUAAAACAGCAGCUGGUUCUAUUUUGAAAAUCUACAAAAUAGAGCUAAGGUCCUUUAAGCCAAGAAACUGCUAGUGUCUGAAGAGGACAAUUUAAGACAGGACAUGAAAAUUGAUUUAAUGUCAAGUUGGAACAGUGAUUCUGUAAAUAAACUCGCCUGAUCACAAGACCUCGGAUUUGACUGAAUCUUACAUGGACAGACCAAAGUCAUUUACUAGACUGUAAAUACUAGAGGCAGCUGAAAGCACAAGGCACAAAGCUGAGGUCCAAGUAAAUCAGAGAGGCCUUGUCACAAGAAAUGUCAGAACUUGCAUGGUUUUUUUCCUUAAGGGUAUAUGACAAAAUAUUGAGAUAUAUGUCAAUGAAAAUGACUUUGUCAGAAUUUAAAAAAGGGCCAAUUCAAAGGUACACUUUUGGAAUUUGCAAGAACAAAAAAACCUUCAUGUUUACUUUUGAAUUAUAGUUGACAAUCUUCACUUUAAGGGAAACCUCUGAAAAUAAGUCCAAUGGAGGGGUUUGGUUUAUUGAAUUCAAUUAUUUUUUAAAGAAAAACAGAUGAAAUAUUGCUCUUUAAUUUCAACAUUUGCAUUUUGCUAUUAAAAUUAUUUACAAGUGCAGCAUAUCCAUGACAUCAGAUUAUGUUAUUGUGUUUGGUUAAGCUACAUAUUUCUUUUUACUUAAACUUUCUGUUGACUUUACUAGUUAAUAAAAUGCUGAAUAAUAAUUUGAGUGUGGCUCAUUCGAGUGUCUAGUAUUUCCUGUCAAUUUUUUGGAUGAUUUUACCAUAUUAUUUAUAAUCGCUUGGUCAAAGGGAGAUAACUUAUUGUAUUUUCACAUUAAAAUGCUGAAUAAUAAUUUGAGUGGCUCAUUCCAGUGUCUAGUAUUUGCUGUCAAUUUUUUGAAUGAUUUUACCAUAUUAUUAUUUAUAAUCGCUUGGUCAAAGGGAGAUAACUUAUUGUAUUUUCACAUUAAAAUGCUGAAUAAUUAUUUGAGUGGCUCAUUCCAGUGUCUAGUAUUUGCUGUCAAUUUUUUUGAUGAUUUUACCAUAUUAUUUAUAAUCGCUUGGUCAAAGGGAGAUAACUUAUUGUAUUUUUACAUUAAAAUGCUGAAUAAUAAUUUGAGUGUGGCUCAUUCCAGUGUCUAGUAUUUGCUGUCAUUUUUUUUGAUGAUUUUACCAUAUUAUUUAUAAUCGCUUGGUCAAAGGGAGAUAACUUUUUGUAUUUUCACAUUAAAUCAUCUGCGAAGAGGAUUAUGUAAAAUGUGAAUUGUUGAAAACUAAUUUUAUGGUUCAAUAAAAUCAAAAUAAGUUACUGCCAUUCAUUAUAAAUAUAUUUCUAUCAAAAAUAAGGUUCAAAGAACUUUUUAUAUUACUAAUAUUAACAAUAACAAUGUACACACAUGUUGACUUGUUAAUACACAACGUCAGAGUGGGUGUGUCACCAUAAAAUGUAAACAUUGAAAAUAAAACUGAUACUUUUAACUAAUCAGGAGACAGUUAAUACACCAAAUAUAUUUUUAAACCUAUAAACUUAUUAUGUUCUUCAAAUUUUAAGGUGCCUAUGUUUGCUAUUUGUUAUAACCCUAUUGUUAUGAUUCUUAAACCAUCUAUACAAGUAAGCAUGUUGAUUUGUCACUUACCAUUAUUUUAUUGAUUAGUUUGAAUUUGAUGAGGUUCUUCGAUGUAGAACUGGACUUAUUUAAACAAAAAAUGUUUUGUUUAUUUGUUUGAUAGUAAAAUUGUAUAACAAACAUUUGACAUUUUAUUUAAUUUAUCAUCAAAACAACUAUUUUGUCAGUAUCUGAA